UGCAUCGGCCGGGAAUCGAACCCGGGCCGCCCGCGUUGUAGGUGAGCAUUCUACCACUGAACCACCGAUGG
RNAcentral lists this transfer RNA (71 nucleotides) under Cordylochernes scorpioides. Its description in RNAcentral is "tRNA-Cys". Lineage: Eukaryota; Metazoa; Arthropoda; Arachnida; Pseudoscorpiones; Chernetidae. The record is from RNAcentral.